CGGAACGUGUGCGCCCACUCCCCCGGCUCGCCGAGCAGGGCGUCGGCGCCGAAGAACCCGCCGCCGUCGCGGACGCCGACCCGGCCGGCGGCGUCGUAGGCGCCGGGGACGCUCUCCUCGACCUUGCCGUGCGCGAUCAGGUGGACCGCGUCGAGGGGCCCGCCCGACUCCGCGAUCAGCUCGCCGGGCGCGUACUCGCGCUGCUCGAACCGCGCGGCGAGACCGUCCAGGACCGCGGGGUCGGACAGGCCGCGCAGCGGCGGCAGCUCGGCCAGUUCGGGCGGGACGACCCGGAUCGCCGCGCCGUCGUUGACGAACGUCACGAGCCCGUCGCCGAGCCGGUAGGUGAGGCGGCGGUUCACCCGGUAGGCGCCGCCGCCGGCCUGCACCCACGGCAGCUGCGACAGCAGCCACCGCGGGGUGGUGCCCUGCGUCUGCGGGACGGUCUUGGUGGUGGAGGCGAGAUUGCGUGCGGCGCGGGUGGAGAGGGCCAGGCGUUCUUCCGUCACG
This 510-nucleotide antisense RNA is filed under the name Actinomadura luteofluorescens. RNAcentral describes it as "sRNA 350". It matches the Rfam family "Saccharopolyspora sRNA 350". The record is from RNAcentral. Lineage: Bacteria; Bacillati; Actinomycetota; Actinomycetes; Streptosporangiales; Thermomonosporaceae.